GAGCAAGGUCGUCGAUUUUACAUCAAAUGGCGAAAAUUUGCAUUGAAGGUUGGCAACAUCGACGCGAUUCUCCGUGCCUUUCAUCUUUUGGGUUUUGAUUGCGGCCUCGAACAAAUCGCCACAUU
Molecule: non-coding RNA, 125 nt
Organism: Salvia hispanica
Lineage: Eukaryota; Viridiplantae; Streptophyta; Magnoliopsida; Lamiales; Lamiaceae
Source: RefSeq, a predicted model, not a curated record